This 461-nucleotide long non-coding RNA is filed under the name Homo sapiens (human). RNAcentral describes it as "HSALNT0180901". The record is from RNAcentral. Lineage: Eukaryota; Metazoa; Chordata; Mammalia; Primates; Hominidae.
AGUUGUAAGGAUGGAAACAAACACUUCUGUUUCUGAACCAGAGUGGGUUCUCAGAGUCUUGGCUUUCUUUCUGCAGCCUGUCUGCCUCCUAAGCAGCUGAGAUUGUUUCCCCACUACAGAUGAGUGAUAAGCUGACUGCACCCUCACGGAUAAUUCUAUCAGCACACACCCCAUCUCUCCAACAUGACUGGGCCACCAGGAUGCAUCACAGUCCUGACCCCAAUGCAGGAGACUGAAAGUCACCAAGGACUGAGACAUGCUGUCGAGCCACAAUCAGAAGAGAAACUGGAGUUGAAGAAGAGCCAGGUCUGGCCACACAGAGAAGUGAAAACCUCCAUUUAAUGGUCAGAGGCAAAGUACAAAGUUAGGCAUCAGAGAAGUGUUCCGUUUUGGUCACUAUUAUUUCUUAAGAAUCUUUCUGAACACUCCAGAACUAAAGGACUAGAAGUCCAGGGCCCUUG